Molecule: long non-coding RNA, 22709 nt
Organism: Marmota monax (woodchuck)
Lineage: Eukaryota; Metazoa; Chordata; Mammalia; Rodentia; Sciuridae
Exons: 4
Source: RefSeq, a predicted model, not a curated record
AUUUACUUUGCUUUACAUUCACUGAGUUCUCUUAGCUGAGUUCAGUCUACUGUGGGUGACCCCAUCAAAGGCAUUCUUCAUUUCUAUUUAAGAUGGUGUAAGGGUCCGGCGAACGUCGGAGGGAGAGACCACCAAGAGACCGCGGCUCAUGCAACAGCAAAAGGGGGUUUAUUUAUUGAGGAUCCAAUCCAGAGCGCUGGGGCUCCGUGCUCACUCAAGAAAGGAGAGCAGCCCAGAGCCCAGAGCAGGGGUUGUGCAAUGCUUAAGUACACUUUUUGGGGAGGGCGGGACUUUACAUACAUCACAGUCUCCUUUAACAAAUCAUCAUACACCGCGGGAAAAUCAAACAACAAUUCUGAGACAUGAUUAGUUCAUUCAUUGGUGGGAACAGGUAGGGCGGGGGUGAUAGGUCAGUUCUAAAGCAGGGUACACAUUCAAACUGAUUGGUCCAGGCCCUGCGAUGCCUACGUGCAAGGCCACACAGGGCCCUAAGUUAUUAAACAACCAGGCGGUCAGGGGGAAUAUUUACUGGGCAGUUCGAGUAUUGUCUUAACAGCUACAGGAAUUUCAGGUUUUGCAUGUAGCAUAGGAACUUAACAAUACCUGGUCCUUUACAUUUUAACUCAGGCCUUGCAGCUGAGAAACUUUACAAUGCCUGGUCUUUUACACUUUAACUUCAAUUUCUUUUACCCUUACAAUGGGAUUAGAAAGAAAGGUGGAACAAGGUAGAGGGAGACAAAGAGUAGGUCUUUGUUAUAGCAAAUACAUGGGUGAUUCACAAAGAUCACUCCUUUCCUCCCUCCUCUGAGGUGGAACACAUCUUUCUUUUAUCAUCACGAUAAAAACAUGGCAGAACUUCUGGUGACAAAGCAGACUAACAUGGGUCCUCAGUGGUUCCUCAUCCUCACGCUAAUCUGCACUCAGCCUCUAGGAAUUCUUCAAGAUUACCAUUCCAGUUCUUCUGCUGGUUAAUGGAUCCAACAACCUCUUCUCCAGGUUGUGACUCUCUGGAUUCUUCUCUCUCUCUAGAGCCCAGGAUAGCAGCUGACCUUGUGACCUCUCUUCUCUGAUGGGUCCAAGACUAGUUACUGAUAUUCAGUUCAUUCAGUUUAUUUCCCAUGGAAAGAUUGGUAAAAAGGAUUUCCAAGCUCUUAUGUAGCAAGUUUGAGCCUGAAAGUGUCCUAUAUGCUAUUUAAAACUAAGAUUCUUAAAUAGAAUAAAUGAUUUAAAACCUAAUUGUACAUACAUAUCCUUAUCUUAUGUAUGAUACAUAACAAAUAGUAGUAUUGACUUGGCAUGGUGAUGCGCAUCUGUAAUCCCAGCUUUCUGAGAGGCUGAGGCAGAAAAAUAGCAAAUUCACGGUCAGGCUGAGCAACUUAGGGAGAACCUGUCUCAAAAAAAAAAAAUUAAAAUUGCUGGGAGUACAACCCAGUGGUACAGUGACCCUGGGCAAUUAUGAAGUAAUGAACUAUGAACACUCACGUAUUCAAAUGGUCCGCAAUGGUCACUCCCUGCUCCUCUGAAGCUCUUCUCAACUUUACCUCCAUUGUACACAGCAUGUGUGCAGGUGUGUGCACCUAUAUCUAAGUGCACAUGCUUAAAGGAUGCCAUCAUAUUUAGCCCAUGAAUGGUAAUCAUUCAGUUUAUUUCUUAUGGUAAGAUUGAGAGAAAACUUGUCAUGUCAGCAUGAGAGUGGCCCCUCUUCCAUUAAGAGGUUUUACUUCCUAGGAAGUAAGACUUAUCCCUGCCCCAAUGGAGCAUGGAAUAGGUUUGGUCCUUGGAUAAACAAGGGAUUGAGUACCUUUUGUUAAAGCCAAAAUAAGGGCAAUUAGGUGCUAGAACCUACAAACAAAACAACAGGGAUGAUGAGGGAAAACAGAAUGGUGUUUAUCAGCACCCAAGCAAGUGAACUAAAGAAAAGAAAAUUAUACCUAUUCUGCCCAGGAUCUGGUACUCAGGUGCAUCUAUGGUGAGACAAGCAUAAUUCUUGGAUUUAAACAAAAAAUAAAAAAAUGUCCAGAACAUCCUGUCAGACAUUAUAAAACAUAACAGCAAGUAAAAUUUAUAGAGUGUUUAGUAUGUCUCAGAAUCUGCAGUUCUCAAUAUUGACCUACAUGGCCUUAAUGUCCCUCUCAGAUUGACUAACAGGUUUCUUCCUGGUGACAGGCCCUGACCUGUUUUCUUAGAGCAUUUACUUUAGAAAACUUCUAAUUGUAAAUUCUUUCUAUGCCCCCUUGGAAUGUAAAUCUCCCCACAUCUUGCUAGUUUUACAACCCAGAAAUGGCCUUUUCAAGGACUUGGGAGCCAUCCUGUGAAAUAGAAUCACAGAGGAAGUGGUGUCCCUCUCUCUCUGUCUCUGCACAAGGGUAGUAAUCGCACUCCUAUGGGCACCAAGGCCAAAGAACAGGUGGCCUGACUGACCAACCUGUCCCCUAAUGUCCUUCAGUUCUUUCCCACUAUCUCAUCCCAGCACUUGCAAAAUGUCCCAUAUUUAUGUUGCAACACAACUCACAUCAAUCCCACCCCUAUUACAUUAGACUUGAAUUGAGUCUUCUUUGCCUGAUUAACUCCAUCUGAAACAUUUUUUUUAUUUGAAAUUUAAUGUAAUUUGAAAUUUAAUGUAAUUUGAAAUUUAAUGUAAAUUGUAUCUAAAAGAGAAAAUAAGAUAGAAAAAAUAAAUUAAAAACUCAUAAUUUCCAAAACAAUGGAAUAAAUGUAACUGUAGUGAUAGAUAAAGAGGUUUUACUUCAUAGGAAGAAAGACUUGUUCAUGUGCCUUGGGCAUGUGAGAACUCAGUGCAGUUGGAAAGUGAGAGGGAGAGGUAUAGGUGAAGAUCUAGGGGUGCUAUGUGUGUUCAGGAAAUGAGAAGUUCAGGCCGGCUUGAGAUGAAUAUGCAAGGCUAAAGUAGGUUCAAAGGUCACAGGAACAUCAUGUAAGUAAUGUGAAGCAUUUGAGGAGAAAACAUCAGCCACUAGGAGACUGGCCAAAAAGUUCCUAAGAAAUAAUAUUGUUCUAAUUACAGAAAUGUCAGCUUAGAUGGAAAUUUAAGAACAGAGUCAGAUAACAUAUAUAUUAGAGGUAGAAUCAGCGUGCUGUUAUUUUAAUGAAUUUGGGCAGUAAGAAGAUAGAGGAAAGAUACCAGGACACUCCCUCUCCUUUGGAGGCUGUUAUUUUGCAUGACAGGUAAAUGCUGAUGGUAUCAGGAGCUGGCUCAGGGCCCUGUUGGUGUCCUGCAUAUCCUUUCACUGUGGUCCAGACAUCAGAGGUGUGCUGUAUGUAGCACAGGAUGAAGUGAGUGGGAAACCAGUGAGAACCUUUGUGAAUUGAUGAGCGCCUUGGUGAGAACAGCUAAACCCAGGAAUUAUAACAGCAAGGUCUGGAUUCAACAGACACAUCUGCUAAUUGUUUUAAGAAAAGCAAUUAGUAACAUUGGUUGCUGGAGAAGAGAAUAAAGAUAAGCUACAUCAAUUAAAUAUCUAUGAUAUUCCAGGCAACUCUAAGCUCACACUUUUAUAACCCACAAAGUCGCUUUUGUGUUAAUACUAAAAAUUGGAAAUCGAGGUACACUGAGUCACACACUUGUAUCUGAAUCCCCGGUAGGCCACGCUGAAUGUGAAAUUUUGGGUAAGCCACUUAAUCUCUUUUAUGCCAAAGGCUUUUUCCUCCUCUCUAUAUUAUAUCAUUUCCUUUUUCUAUAUCUCUAGAGUUUCCUUUUCUCUUAAUACGAGCUCUGGGCAUAGAGGGGGGAAAAAAAAAAAGAUGUGCACUUAGAAAAUUUGACCUGGCAGCUUAAGUAAUUUGCCCAAGGUCAUUCAGUGAAUCAGUGGUAGAUAUAAGGGUAAGAAGCUAUAAUUCCUACUCUAAUUUCCUGCCUGAACCAUUAGAUAGCUCCAUCUGUUUUGAUUCCAUCAUUAAUAUGAAGUCAUAUUUCUGUCUCUUAAUAGAAAUGAACUGAUCUACUGACUAAAAGUGGAAGGUGAAAAGAAUUUCCAUAGCUUUGAAUGCAGAAGUAUUCUUAACAAAUGCAACUUUGAAGGUGGUUCUGUUAUACAGUUAAAUAAAUUUUAAGAGACUUUAUACUGCUGGUCUUUAUACUUGUGAUAAAAGAAAAACAAAGUUCUCAUUAACAUGAGUCUUAAAUGAACAUUUUUAUGCUAAAUAUUAAGUUAAGCUUUUGAUAUGUUGUGGCAACAUUUUGAAAUGAUGAAGCAUUCAUUAAUGCCUGCUUAAGUUAAAAGUAACACCACAUUAAUUUGAUCUGAUUAAUGUUCACACAAUGCACAAAGAUACAUUGAUAAUGACUGGCCACUUUUCUUAAGUGUUAACCAGCAUAUUAAUAUAUAGUAAAUGAAUUGGAUAGCCUGUGUAAUGCCACUGUUCAUUAUUAAUUCAGUUAAUUAAAUGUGUGUCAGACAAAUCAUUAAUAACUUGAUAAUUCACUUGUAUUGGAUAUUAUCAAAUCCUUUCAAUAUUAUAAAUCCAAGAGAAAGUGAAACUACAAAUUUAAAGGUUUCAUGUCUGCAAUACUUAUUUUUCAAGACUAGGCAUAAAGAAUUCCUUUAUUCGAAAGGAGGAGAUAAAUAAGGAUGUUUAGCACAUACUUGCAAACUUAAAAAUAUUAUGCAAGCAUUCACUUUUUUUAAAGUUGUAGAUGGACAAAUACCUUUAAUUUGUUGAUUUAUGUUUAUGUGGUACUGUGCUGCAGUCCGGCUGCAGCAAAAUAACGGGGGGUGAGGAACAACUUGUGUACAUUGAUACAGCAGGAGUGGAAGCCGUUUAUUGUAGGACAACAGAGGUAUUUAUACAUUCCACACAGCUUAUCUUAAUUAGCAUAAACUAGAUACAGCAGUCAACCAAUAAGAAAUCUCCACACUUAAUGGCUUGCUGGCGUUACUUCACAAACCACUCCCUCUGGCAAAAUGCCAGGCGCCAUCCUGACUUGUUUACAGACUCUAACAUUUGCCAGGCGCCAUCCUGACUUGUUUACAGACUCUAACAGUACUGAGGAUCCAACCCAGUGCCUCACAUGUGUGAAGUAAGCGCUCUACUGCUGAGCCAAAACCCCAGCCCCAUAAGCAUUCAUUAUUAUUGACAUUAAUUCAAACUUAUUUAUAUAGAUUUAAUGUCAGCUUUUUUAUAAUUCUGAGCAAAUCUUUAUAUUUCAUGUCAUUGACAUAGGUCAUCAAAUAAUUUGAAUUUUAUUUCUCCAAAUUGCUUAUCCACAUAACAUAUUCCACAUACACUCUACAUCAUUAUUUUACCUGUCAGUUGCCUUUAAAUGCUAUGUAAGUACCAGUUAGUACCAGUUGUAGAUGAAUAUAAACUUGCAGAGAGAAAAAAUGAGGAUUUGGAUUCCUUAAAAUGGUUUUCAAAAUAGGUCAAUUGCUUACUUCAUUGGAUAUUGGAAUCUAAUAUGGGGUUUGCCUACAUGAGGUAGGGGCUGGAGACGUGGGUAUUGUCAGUGCAUAGCUGCUAUUAAAAGUCUGUUGUGAAAAAGCUGCUACUGGGUUUAAUCAGAUGAGGACAGACAACAGACCAUUCAUGUCAGGGUCCACUAUGCCAUAUGUUUCUAUGGAUGUGUUUACAUUAUAAUUACAUCCCUUUUCCUGUUCUUAGAAACUAAAUAUUUUUUGGAUUAGAUUCAAAAAGGACAUGUAUGGAAUGCUAUACACAGGCUUUGAGCUCAUUACUAUAUAUCCUCCUGAGAACAGAUGGUAGACCUCAGGCCCUGUUACUACUCUAAUGUAUUCCUACCAUCCCUUGAUAUAGGGACAGCAGUAAUGGUAGAGUAAAUUUCCCAUGACUCCAAGGCAAAUGUUUAGCAGGCGAGGACAAAUUCACAUAUUUUUUCUUUUAUUUUCUUUGCAAACAUUGCAAAAAGAGUCAUCAAAGUAUCUACUAAAAAGUAUAUUCCUAUUAUGAAUACAGAAACUGUUGAAAUUACUGUAAGGCACUUCUCUUUAGAUAGAAAAUCAACACAACAGCCAAGUGAAGUUCAGGUACCUGUAAUAAUCAUUUCUCACAACAGGGCCUACCCAUGAAGUCAUGAGUUUUGUUAUCAAUGUUAUGUUCUGUUAAAAAGUGUAAUCCCAGCUUGUAUACAAAUAUGCCUCUUUGGAUUUUUGAUCUAAUACUCACAACAACAGAUUAUGAAAUGUUUCUUAUGGUUUACAAUUUGAACACAUUUAAAGUGAAGGUCCAAGUCUUCAUGUAAUGUCAGCCUUAAGCAUCUAAAUUUUUUCUUCAAAAUGAUACCAUGUACUAUAUUUUUUGCUAUGUAGCAUGAAAUAGUUAUGUAUUUUAGAGAUAUUAUUUAAAAGAAAAAAAACUCUAUUGUAGAUAUAAAAAAGUGCUUUAUAUAAAAUUUUGCAAGUGGUAAAACAACAAUAAAAGUGUAAAGUAGAAUUGAAGAGUUAAAACUAUGUUGUCACCAAAGGUUACUGAAAGACUUUAACAUAUUGGCUAGGGCAUUAUGAUUAACUAAAUGGUGCUUUGUUUUUCCAAAGCUUUAUCUGCCAUGAGAGAAGAAAAUUUCCGACUGGAGUUUGAAACAAGAAUAUAAAAUAGUGAAGUCAGAGUCGUAGCUCUGGAGCCUGACUUGAAAUGGCAGUUUGACCACCUUACUCAGACCACUUAUUAAAUGAUGAUAGAGUGAGUUGGAGGAUGUUCUCCAGAGAUACUGAAGCAGGGUCUGUAAUGAAGGCUUCCUAGGAGGAUCUGCACUUUUAACAACUUCAGCAAAUGAUGGUGAUGCAUGGUGGAGUUUGAGAGUGACCCUUCUGGAGAUGCUUAUUAUACAGCAUUGCACAUGCGGUACAAUUAAUUUAAUGGUACUCACUGAAGUGAAACUUGAAACUCAUCAGAUAAUUUUCUAUUUAUUCUAGUGUCAUACUUGAUGAGGCUCACUGCCUCUUCAUUAGUGAAUGGUUUAAACAAAUAUUUAUUUCGCGCAUAAUACGUGUCUGGCAAUGUUUUAGCCACAGAAUAAUAAAAAUGAACAAAAGAGACAAAUUUCCUGUUUUUGUGGAAGUUCCAUUUUAAUGGUGAGGAGAAAUGGAGAUAAAUACAUAGAAAACAAUGAGUUUUUGAUCAAGAUGGAUAAGACUUAUGAAGAAACUAAAAAACAGCAUUCAAGAGCCAUAACUAAACACGUCUGAAGUCCAAUAAACAGCCAAAAAAUAAACACUGGUCUGAAAGCACCAAACCAUCAUCUUUCCCUAAUCUCUAUGGCCUGCUCCCAGUGUCAAGUAAAAGAAGAUUCAUUUAUAGGUGUGCGGAUUAAACGUUAACCCUACAUCAGCAAGAGCAAGGGGCAAAAGGAGCACAAGUGGGAUGAUUUCACCCCAAGACCCUGGGGACAUUGUAACCAGGAGGUGGCAAGGCUGCCUUUGCUAAUAACAGUAGCUUUUUACCUAGACCGGCAGAAGUCCUGUGGGUGAGCCAAAGCCACAUGAUGCUCUGCAUCUUUGCCUCCGUUUGCAUCUGCCUCCUGUAAACUGCACGCUGGGUCAUGUCCCUGCUCACCUCUACAUGUUCCCAUAUUAAUUAUUUAAGGAGUGUCUAUCUAAAAACUAGUAAUAUGCGGUUAAUUAUCCCUAAAUUUACCUGGCCCGUCCCAUCCCCCUUGAAGACUGAGGCAAGGACCGCAGGGUUCUGUUUCGGUGUCCUGCAGUGGGGUCUAGACUCUCCAGUCAUCCCUCCCCUCCAGGAUCCAAACUCGGAGAGAUAAACAUCCAGAGCAACAAAUAGAGCUUUUCCCCUCAAAGGGAUCUUUAUCCCUUUUUCCUGCCAUCUAGCAGAAGCAGAACCGAGAGAAUGAUUAGCCAGACCACAGUUGGACCAGGACCACUAAGUUGAGCCUCAGGCCCCUUCCCCAGUUCUUCUCUACGUAAACCUGAAACUCCUGUCAACAUGCCAACACCCACCAUGGCCAUACUCACUAUGUUCCCUUUCCUGCUUUUCAACAUUUUCUUUUCUGCUUGGUGGCUGGACCUGCUUGGUGGGGACUACCAGAAUCAGUCCUCUGGCCUAGGACAGUAACAACAUGAGAGUUCUUGUUCUAGCACCACGCUGUAGAUGCUUUGAGACUUCCAGGAGACCAACAGAUUUCUUCAUCUAAAGAGUAGGAGCAAUGCUUCUGAACCUGUUUAGCUUAUGGUGCAGCUUGUAGAAUUCAUUUUCGAUCCAGAACGACAGUCAAAAAAAGGUGUGAAGCUAGCUCAUCCCCAACAUCACUGUUCUCUGCAAUCUGUGCUAUGCUUCUCUCAUCAGAAGGAGUGGCUGUUGGUCUGGGUGGCUUGCUGUUCGUGUGACACAGACACCCAUCUCUGAGGAAUCAGAACUCCUAUUCUUUGCACAUGUCUCAGUCUGUGGCUGUACCUUCUGCUUAUUUAUUUCAAAAUGAGGCAAGGGAGUACCAAAGGAUGGGCCAAUGUAUUGCUUCCAUGGUAAGCAAAUCUGUCCAUGCGCCAAUUAUAUAAUAGGUGUUAUGGUUUGGAUGUGAGGUGUCCCCCAAAAGCUCAUGUGUGAGACAAGGCAAGAAGGUUCAGAGGAAAAAUGAUUGGGUUGUAAGAGUCUUAACCUAAUCAGUGUUUUAAUCCCCUGAUAGGGAUUAACUGAGAGGUAACUGAAGUGGUAGGGUAUGGCUGGAGGAGGUCAGAAUUAGGGUGUGGCUUUGGGUAUAUAUUUGUAUCUGGCAAGUAGAGUUUCUCUUUCUGCUUCCUGAGCACCUUGAUGUGAGUUGCUACCCUCUGCCACUCUCUACUGCCAUGAUACUCUGUCUCACCUUGAGUGUGGGGGAAAGCCAGCCUUCUAUGGACUAAGACCUCUGGAACUGUAAGUCCUCAAAUAAACUAUCCUUCUUCUUUAAUGGUGCCAGUUGGGUCCUUUAGUCCCAGAAGCAAAAAAGCUGACUUAAACAAUAAGAAUCUUAAUUCCUCUGAAUGACAGAAAAGUCAUUUCUUUCUGCCCCAAUGAAAACUAAAUGGACGCUUAGCAUGAGGAAUCUGAAGCCCUGCAGUAGGAGCUGUAGUUUUUAUUUUAAUAAAACUCUUGCUAUUUCUCUAGUGAAAGCAUUUCCCCCUGGGGAAACUAAAAAUCUCUAGACUUGCAUACUCCAGAACUAAAGGAAGAGGAAUUAUAAAUUCCCUAAAUGGGUCACUGGGAAACAGUGCUACCCAUCUUUCGCCCAAGUGGUUUCUAGAAUUAUAGAUUCUACCUAGUAGGAUCUUCCUGUCAUUUUAAGGUCAUUGUGUUAACAUGAUCAAUCUCUAAGAAAAUGCCAAACUCCUUUCAAUCAGGCAAAUAUUCUGGGUGGGAUAGAAUGUUAUAAAAUCAGUGGUCACCUGGUGAUCAAUCUAUUUGCAUAUAUUCUUGGCUAAAAAUAGAGUCGUUUUUCCUUAUGUUAUAUUAAGUGGUAUCCAUGCUUAGACAUCAAACACUGUGAGCCCCCAUAGUAAGACUGAUCCAAACUUUGCAAAAGAAAGGCAAAUCUAUAUCCAGAAUAUUACUUUCAAAAUAUUGUUCUUCCUUCCAUGGUGAAGGGUUUCCAUAUAGUCAGCUUGUCACAAGUUGGCCUGUUGGUCUACAUGACGGCUAAGGAUGUGGCAGUGACUCAGCCUUCGUCCUUUCCUGGAGUUUGGGCUUGUGGAAGCAUCGUGAAUAAGUAUGAACCCAUGGUCUUGGAUCCACAUGAAGCUUCUGUUCUUGUCACCAUGGUUUCACAGUCCAUGCAUCCAUCAAGCCAUCACUAACCUGACCGAUGGCAGCAAGAACAGCUGAUGUCAAAAAAAGGACCAAGUCAUUCCAUGUACCUGAUCUUUUGGAUAACUCUUUAUCAUGGAGGGUCCCUGGUAGUUACUAUCAAGUAGACCAAAGAUCUACUCAUUAUGGGCUCUUUCUCACAGUUUUACUUUCACUUUUCUUCUGGAGGAUUCCUAAAAAUUCAACAUAUCUCCUUCCCAGCCUCUGAACAGAGGAACCCUUGAUCAUUCUGAACAAAUGCAGAAUCUUGGGAUGCUUCUUCUUCUUUUUUUUUAAUACAUUGUAAAUUGUAGGAAUCAUGAAUUUCCUAAAUGUGUCACUGGGAAACAGUGCUACCCAUCUUUCCCCCAAGUGGUUUCUAGAAUUAAAGUUUCUACCUAUUAGGAUCCUCCUGUCAUUUUAAGGUCAUUGUGUUAACAUGUACAAUAUCUGAGAAAACGGCAAACUCCUUCAGUCAGACCAGCAGAUUCUGGGUGGGAUAGAAUGUUAUAAAAUCAGUGGGUCACCCGGUGAUCAAUCUGCCCACUAGAAAUUUUUAUCUUUAUCGUGGCAUUUCAAAGCCACCCCUGAGUAGGGCUGUAAUGUACUCACUAUCCCUUUUUAGGCAACCUGUCUGUAAAUCAUUCUUUCAUUGCAUGUUGUCAAAAGAUAUCUCUUUCUUAGACAUUAGAAGCAGCUGAAGAAUAAACUUUGGCACAGCAAUGCCAUGGGGUUCUGGGACAACCAUUUAUAUAAUUUCCUGAUGCUUCCUGGUCUGUGUUCUGAUGCUUGUCGUUAUGGUCUCCAAUUUGGUCUUGAGUUAUAAAAACCCAUAAUCCAAGAUAACCACUAUCCUUCUGCAUAGGAGAGAGGAGAGGGAGUUAGAUUGAGAAUUGUCAAUCCGGGAGACACAACAAGGGUGAAACUAAAAUUUAUGAAACAAAAGACACUUAUGAUUGACAGAUUCUCAUGAGUUUAGUGGUGUGGUGGGUGCUGAGGGGAGAUCUGAAGGUAUGGGGUCCCUCAACCAGUGCACAGGGGAGAAAUGGUGAGUGAGAGAGAGAGAGGGGGGGGGAGAGAGAGAGAGAGAGAGAGAACACAGAGGAUCUGAGAGCUAUGCCUUUAGUAAGGUCCAUCAUUAUAUCUUUGGCUUUGCCCUGAUAGUUAUAGGUAGGGUUUUAUCGUGGUUUUAGCAGUCAUUUCUUAGGACUUCAAAACACAUCAGCAUCAUUUUUUUAACGGUAUGUAGUGUGCUAGAGAUGACAUAGCUUUGCCCCAGAAAUUCAGAUACCUGUUUCAGAUUUUUCCAGUGAACUUCUGAGAAACGUGGGUCUUUCUGCAUCAUUAGUGUUUCUGCCAUCACAGUGUCUACUGAGGCACAAGGCACAAGGGGCAGUGCUGCUGGAAGAACAAUGUGAACAUACUGCAGUCUUCCUCCUAGAGACUCACUAAAACCUGGAAACCAGCCAGGAGCAGUGGCGCAAGCCUGUGAUCCCAGCAACUCUGGAGGUUUUGUCAGGAAGGAGGAUUGGUAGUUCAAAGCCAGCCUCAGCAAAAGCAAAGUGCUAAGCAACUCAGUGGGACCCUGUUUCUAAAUAAAAUACAAAAUAGGGCUGGGGAUGGGGAUGUGAUUUCAUGGCCAAGUGUCCCUGAGUUCAAUCCCUGGUACACCACCAGCCCCCAACCCCCCCCCCCAAAAAAAAUUGGAAGCCUUUUGUGUCUUCUAGUAUGUAGGCCAGGGGAAAACUCACAGGUGUGGUGUGGAAUAUGCUGACCAGAACCUGGAGAGACCUGAUAAGAUCAGAUGCUAAAAUCAGCUUUCCCUGGCCCACAACUGAUCUUAUCAGUACUUAUGAUAAUUGGGUGUUCUUAUUUUUAACAGUUAAGCACUGUCACUUGUCUUAUGUGGUCUUAGAGUUCUCUCAUCCCCAUUAGUAUCCAUGAGACCAGUUUUAUAAAGACAUCUUUGCCAUCCCUGGUCUAGCAAGUGAAGCAACCAUGAACUUCUUGGAGAAGUUAGUGCUCUUCUCACUAGCAGAUUCUUUAUUGAUUUGGUGUGGUAUGAUGUGUCCUCUGAGUUCUCCAGAGCAUCGUUCUCUGAUUGUUUUUUCCAGCCUUAUUAAAUAGUCCUCCAACCAUGAUUAUGCCUUUGAGUCUCUUAAUCCUUUUAUACCUGUCUGCCAUGCAAAUUUUGGUAUUCUAAGUCCUUCAUGUAGUAUUUUUCUAUGCUGUAGGAACCAUCCUAGAAGCAUGUUCCCACCAUCCCUUGUAGGAUGGCUAAUUGUUAAAUCAUGUAUUCUCAGAGAGUGAUCUCAAAUCAAUUACACUCCUUUAAUCGGUCAAACAUUCUAGAAUCUGAUCCAUGCAUAGAUUUCCAAAUGUGUUUGCAUGUACUGAGUUGUUCCUAGAGCUCAUUUGAAGUAUAGCACAUGGUGGUUUCUGUCAGAUCUAGUGUGGAACCUUGCCAGAUUAUGUUAUAGAUAAACUUAAGGGAAAGUAGAGACACACCCCAAAAAAGGUGUACAUUGUCUAGUGGAGGAGGCUUAUACACUGUCUAGGAGACAAGGAAAUGCCAGUUCAUGAUAAGUUGAAUCAGUGAGUUCUUCCACAGCCACAGAAGAUUCUGGGUAACCUAAGGAGGCAGGAUUUUCAUGUGCACUUAUGUGUCUCCAUUUCAAGCAAAGUUCUGGUGUUGGUAAAGCAGAUCUCUCAGUCUGAGAAUUCAAAACUCUUUAAAGUUUUCCUGUUCUUAAAAUUAAUUCUUGGACCUGAACAUCCACUUUCCCUACCCUUUUGGAUAAAAAGAUUGAGAUAUUCUUUAUAUAUUACCAAAAAGUACUCUGGUUAUUGUAGUUGGCUUUUAGUUUCUUAUUGAACAAUCUCAGAUUUUCAUAACUCUUAGAAUUUGAAUGGAGUUUAGUAAUAGGUACAGAACUCCACUAUUUCUAUAGAAGUCUUUUCUCCACAUUGUUCAAAUAUCAGGCAUAUGUGACAGCUAAUCACAUGGAUUCCACUCCAGUUUACUGCCAUGAGUGAGAAUGUCAACAGUGUGACUUAUGCCAGGGGUUUCUUUGUUCUCUAAGCAUUGGUGAUGGUGUACAUGCUGCCAGCUGAUAAUGGAUGAUCCAGCUCUAAAACCCCUCCUUGCAUGUGUGUGCUCAGAUUCCUUGCACCAGCUUUGACAGGUUGCAUCCGGUGAACUGCCAACUCUAACAUGGCAUGUAUGGAGGCUUAUUAGGGAGAAUUCUUGGGAUAGAUACCUGUGUAUACAAAUUAAAGGAAGAGGCAUCACAGAGGAGAAGGUGAGCUGGGAUGCAGUCUCAAGGAUGCUCAGCCAACUCUGUGAGAAGAUGAUACUUUUCAGGGAAAAGAAGCCCGGCCUUUAUACUCCAAUGAAGAUCAGUCAGCAUGGAAGAGUGACUUUAAAGGAUAUGGCUCCCCCCGCCACACCCCACAAUGGAGAUAGCCCCACAACCAGGACAGUUGUGAGCUGUCUUCUAGCAGUGCUCAUAGUAGUUGAAAGAAAAAAAUCCUUUUAUUCUGAGGGUCUGGAGAAUGCAUCAUAACAUUUACUACAAUUGGAAGCUAGAAAAUUUAAAAAGAAAGAAAGAAAGAUAGAAAGAACAAAUAAACAAACUAUAAUCACAACAAAAACUAAAAUCCUCAAACAGCCAUAAUGGGUUGAGAUAUAGGAGGUAUUUAUAGAUUGGAGGUCAGGUGACUUUCAAGAGCAUUUACCAUGUGAGUAAAAGAGCAAACUUCACACCCCAUUAAUAAAGUUUAUUUUGUUAUUAAGGUAAUAAUGGGGGCUUAUACAAAGUUUAAACAAGGAACUGCUCUGGUGCAGUGUUCAUUCUCCAUUUUCAUUGACUACUUUCUCUUCUAUAAGUAUACUUAUAGAAGAAAUAAUAAAAAAAAUAGUAGAAGAUCUCUAUGUCUUAGAUUAUUUAUUAUGUAAUAUCAAUAUAUUUAGAUAAACAGUAUAUGUGUAGGGACAGAAGUUCUAAAAGAUGAAUUAUAAAGUAUAUUCAAAUUAUUAUUCAAAAAACACUUCCUUUUAAUAUAUAUGAUUGGGAAUUUCACUCAUGGAUGAAAAAUUCAAAUAUUCUAAAAUUGCUUAGUGAAUUGAUAGUUGAUAAUGAACAAAUAAUCAUAUUUUUCAAAAUAAAGAGGCUUAUAUGCAAGUGCUUGGAAAAUACCAUCCAUGGUGCAGAUGAAUAAUUGCAUAAUACGUACAGGCAAUAUGUAGGUUUGUUGCCUUCUUUUCAUCUUUAUUUUCAUCUUUCUUUCCUUCCUCUCUAUUUCUUCCUUCUUCUCUUUAUUACUUCCUCUCCUUCUACCUCCUUUUCCUUUUUUUUUUCUUUUUUGGUGGUGCUGGGGAUUGAACCCAGGACCUCGAGCAUGUGAGGCAAGCACUUUACCAACUGAGCUAAAUCCCCAGUCCACUACCUUCUUUUUUACCUCUGACAGAAAUCCUGUGAAGUGCCACUGAAAAUUCUGAUGUGGAAAAAUAAAUAUUUUAGGAAUCUGAGUUCUAAAUCAAGCAUCUUAGGGAUUCAGUCAGUGCUGCUGGUAAGCAGGUUAAGACUUAGAAAUAAGAAGGUGGUCAUAAGAAAUGAGCAGCUGGCUAAGUAGUUAGGAGGGAAGAUAUGGACUUCUUGUUUUACACUAUGGAUUUGAUACCAAAUGACAAACUUAUACCUAUAGUUCAAGGAUAUUUCAUAGGAUGAUAAGACAGCUGUUAACAUCAGGAAACACAGAGAUAUAGCUAAAAUUAUAAUAAUAAUACACCAAAUUAGCAUUUAUUAAUUCUUAUUAUGUUAAAACUUCAAAUUUACUAUGUAUUUAACAUUUAUCUCAUCAAUAAAGUACUAUAAAAUCUAUGUUUUACUGGAAUGUAGUGGAAUCUUAGAAUAGAUUUCUAAGUUAAUGAAAGACAGAAUAUAAAUGGGAGAUUUUAAAUUCAAACUCAGGCAUAACAGACUUCAAAGUAGUUCUCUCUCCUUAGGUGCUGUGGCAUUCUUUCUGCCUGUAUACAGGCCUCAUACACAUGGAAAAUUAAUUCCUGUAAAAACACUGUUCAGUAAAAAUUUAAAAUAUAUGGCACAGUUAAAUGCUGAUGCAAAAAAUCACUUAUUUAUGAAAAAACAAAAUUUGCUUUGUGAAUAUAAGACAAAUCCAGACUUAAACACUCAUAGCAAUGAUUAUUAAUACUGUAGCAAUGGGUGCACACAUACACACUCACAUGCACCAUACCAUGAGAUGGGAUUCUGUUAAAAUAUUUACAAACUCACUAGCGAUUUCUUCUAGUAUGUUGUCAUAAUUAUAAUAUUUGUAAAUCAAUCUCAAAACAAAGAGAUAAAUAUAACUAAGAGAAACCACUGAGAUUUAGAAAGAUGAAGACUGCAAUGAGGAUAACAAAGUGCAGUGCAGUGAGUUUGGGUGACGAUGAGAAGGCAGAGGUCAUUGAAUCUGAGGGGGCAACUCUGAGUUCAGGUCAGGAAAAAAGGGUUCUGAGCUCUACCUUUAUAAUCAAGCAACGGAGCAUCGUAACUGUGGCAGGAACUUGGCUCUGUGAAUGGCUUCAGUUUGGGACGCAUUUUUUUUAAAAAAAUGUCCUUCUAACACUGUUGGCAAUGAGGAGGCAGAAUAACCGAGAGAAUGAGAAAAUUCAUCAUAGGAAUAAAGAUGAUGGGUGAGGAAAUUGAACAUAAGAAAGUAUUUGCCCUAGAAAUUUAGUGCAGUAACAGACAGAAUAUAAUUGAAUUAUUUCUGUCAUUAAGAAAUUAACAUCUUUGUAAGCAUGAAAUUCACAGAUAAUGCAAUUUAUUCUUUUGAGCACUAAAGCAUGGACAUGUAUCCAUUUGUUAUAUUCAUUUACAUAUACACUACAGAUUUGUGACAUUUUUAUUCAACUAUGAUUUUAUUGAACAUGUUUUGUGAACUCAGUCUCAGAAGGAAUAUUAGCACACUGUAUCGAUAAGUAUUGCUACCACAAGUUACUGUCUGAUUCAUAAGUUGUUACGAUACACAUAUGGUGAAGCUUCAUUUAAAUUUUUUUUUCUUAGAAAGCUUUUUUUGAAGACAAUUAUUUUACAUUGAAGAACUUUAUUUUUUUUCUAAUUAUUGUCAUUUAAUUUCUUUUUAGAGAUAUGGAUUUAGUAAAAUGUGAAAUUAGAUAAUUUCAGGGUGUUUGAGGUUCAAUAAUCAAGAAGUAGUAUCUACUGAACUUCAAGAAAUCCACGCUCUUUGGCCCUCAUGUGAUUGGAAGCCUAGAAGUGGCCCUUCUCUCACCAGCUCAUCCCAAUGCCAAAGCCACCAGAAAGAAGAGCAAUAAGCAGUACACCAGAGAACAUCUAUGGGACAAUGGCUAAUGAGCAUUGAAGAGAAACUUGGUCUGAGAAAAAGAUUGCCAUCGAUUGUUUUAUAAUUUAUUAUUAGGAAUAAGUCAUUAUGACAUUCCUUACACCAAAAGGUGCUGUGAUUUUUAAAUGUAUUAUAUUUAAAUAACAGCCAAAUAGGACACAGAGUAAGUAUAAGCCUAAAGGACUAACUAUUGGGACCAGAGCCCUGGUGACAUCAUUUCUGAGUCUUCAAACCACCAAGAAAGUAAGUUACAACUUCUUAAAUAUUACAUUUUGAAUUGGCUAUCAUACACAUAAUAUUAUGACAGCUGGAGGUAUUAUUAAUACUAUUGUAUGAAAACUAGAAAUAAUUACAGUAAAAUAGGACAAUAAUUAUGAUAAAAUCAUACCAUCUUCUGAAUCACAAUUAAUUUCUAAGGGAGAGAUUAGUAAUGUUAUUUUUAGAGGGUUGCUAUCUAACUAGACAGAAGCUGCUACCCACCUAUGGGAUGCAGAAAUUUGUAAAUGCUCUGGACUCUCAGGAAAAAAAAAAAUCACUUAGGAAGAUUACACUGCAUUCAGCAUCACCUCUAGCACACGCCUUCUCUAUACCAAGAAGGACAUUAGCUCCCCAGAAUGCUGUAGCAUGUGCUGGGAAUGCAGCACUUUGAAAUAAGGAGAAACUGGUGAAUGUAGCCUGAGCUGGAUUCCUUCUCCUUCUGGACAUAGAUGUUCUUCUGUGCUUCAACCGAGCAAGCGUGCAGCCCUGGGGUAUAACACCCAGGGAGUGCUGCUUUGUGGGUUCCUUCAGCUGUGGUAUUGUGGGGACCACCCAGAAGGGACCCCAUCCAUCCUUAGCAGCUUUCCUGAGCCUUGAGGUUUGGGUUUGUUACAAGCCCUGGGCUUCUGCUGUCCUGUGCUGUGUAUCUGGAAGUCAUAGCCUGCAUCCUGUGAUGUGCAUGUUCAUGUGAUUGGGCAAGUGGUAACAGCGUAGCCCAAGAUGCUGUGAGUUGAAGUGGCUGCCAGUGCACAGUGAACCUACAUCCCAUCAAGUUUAUAGAAAGAGUAAAUAUUUUUGGCUUCUUGCAGCGGGGGGUGGAGAGAGAGAGGUGUUCUGGGCAUUGAACCCAGGGACACUCAACCACUAAGCCAUUUCCCCAGCCCAUGAAAAGUACAUUUAAAAUUUUGAAAGAUCUAUAGUCUGUCUGAACUACCCAACUCUGCUAAUAUAGAAGAAAGGUACCCAUGGGCAAUACAUAAAUAAAUAAUUGCAGCUGUGUUCAAGCUAAACUUUUUUUUAUAAAAACAUUUUGUGGGUGUGCUUUAAUCUCAAGACCACAGUUUGCCUAUUCCUGUUCUGGAAAAAAAAAUAUAUGUAAUAUUAUAUCAAAAAUAAAAUGAAAAUUAAGAAAAACUAAAUACAGGAAAUGUGAAAGAGAACUAUUAAUUGAUAGUCAGCCUCUAUUGUCCUUUUGAUACCUGAAAGGGUUGACUGUCAAAGUUUUUAUGAAGAAUAAGUUUCCCGUGUAUUUUGUCUUUUCCUCCAAGUAAAACCAAACUUCCAGGUAUCAGUGGAAGGAGCCACUUUAUGUAACUGUUUUGAACUGUUAGAAUUUGGGGGGUUCCUCCCCUGGAAUGGUGGAGCGACAGGGGCAGACCUGUCCUCACGCCGACCCGCUAGACAAGACUAGCACUGCGGUCUGAAUGCCGGGCAGCUAAUGGUGAGGGAAGUCAAACCCUGAAGGAAGGCAGUGCUGGGGUAGGCUUGCUGCGUGGUGUCUUUAAGUUCUGUGGAGGACUGGGCACAGAAAGGACGGCUGGGACAAUGAACACAGAACUCAGGGCUUCCAGCCUGAGGACAUGGAGGGCAGCUGGGGCAGCAGACAGCACUUCUGUUACACAAUGACCAGGGGAUCAGGAAGAGGGGCAGCCAAAUGAAGGAGUUCCUCGUUCUGUCCACAAGCUAUGAGGUGUCUCUAACUUUCUUGGGAACCAUGUGUGUAAGGGAGAGAUUUCAGUCACAGAGAGAAUGAGCCUAGGAUUUGAGUAGUUGCCUAUGUGACAAAAACAGAUGUUUGCUAAAACAGGCAACAACCACAACAAAUCAACAAUUUUUGAGCCAGGCACCAUGGCACACGCCUGUAAUCCCAUUUGCUCAGGAGGCUGAGGCAGGAGGAACACAAGUUCAUAACCAGCCUCAGCAAUGGCGAGGCACUAAACAACGCAGUGAGACCCUGUCUCUAAUAAAAUACAAAACAGGGCUGGGGAUGUGGCUCAGUAGUCGAGUGCCCCUGGGUUAAAUCCCUGGUAAAAAGAUCAACAAUUUUUUAGAGAAACAUCAUCUGCACAAUUUCCAGGAUAUAAUCCAGUUAUAGUACAUAAAAAUAAUUAGGGACAUGCCACAUAUUCCAGAAAAAUAAUGCUUGAUUUAAAAAAUAAUCAAGCAGAAUAUCAUUAAGACAUGGAUGAUGUAAUAUUAGACAACUUGACCUGCUUGAUAUUUACAGAAUAUAUCCUUAGUAGCAACAGCAAAUUAAUUCCACAUAAAGAUAAAGGCAAAAAAACAAUAAAAUAGGAAAUGAACCACUAAUAUAGAAUAAUUCAAUAAGGAAAAAUUUAUUUGACUGUUAAAAAUUGACAAAAUUUAUAAACCACUAACUUGACAAAUCAAAAAAUGAGAAAGGAUGAAGACAAAUCACCAACACAAUCCAGACAUUUAGAAUAAUAAGUCAACAUCAUGAACAACUUUCUGUCAGCAACUUCAACAUGUAGAUUAAAGAGACAAAUUCCUUAAAAAAUACAACUUACCAAAACUGACAGGAAACAAAAAAAGACAAAAUCUGAAUAAUGUUAUAGCUAAUAAAUAAAUUUAGUCUAUUAUCGUAAACCUUUCAAACCUGAUGAUAUCAAAACCUGAUGGUGAAUUCUCUCAGGCACUUAAUGAAGUAGCAUGAAUGUUAUACAAAUCUUUCACAAAGCACAAAAAUGAGAGAACCUGUCCCAAAUCAUAAACAUAUGGAAUAAAAUCAUACCCAAGGCAUAUGAUGCCUCCAUGAACCACGAUGAAAAAUUAAUUGACAACAUUUGGGAAAGUCAAGUCAGCAAUAUGUAAAAAGGACAAUGCAUAAUAGUUGGUAGGUGUAUCACAAGACGUCAAGAUUGAGCUGUUUCCAGGAUGAAUUGAUGUAUUAAUAAAAUGAAGAAGAAAUGUACAAAUUAAGGUUAAUAAAUGCAAAGGAGGAUUCAACAAAAUUUUAGACUCAAAAUUAAAACUUGCAUUAAUUUAGUAAUAUGAGAAUUUUCCUCAACUUAAUAAAAAAUAAUUCAUGAAAAAUUUUCAGUUAGUACCACACUUAAUGUGGAAUAUUUGGUCACUUUUUCCCAAGCUGAGAACAAGAAUAAAGCCCCCACUUAUCAAUGCUAUGGAGAGCAGACAUAGAAAAAGGCAUGAAAUAGAAAUAAAAGCACCAAGGUAAAAAAGGAAAAAAGCAAAUUUACUGAAAAAGCGUAAAGUCUUAAGGAAUCUCUAGCACAUUAUUGGAAAUGACUAGUAAAGAUUGAUCUCAGGACAGAAGAUGAAUUAUAUAGAAAUCUAUCACAUUUUUAUAUAUUAUUAACAAAAAACUUUAGUGAAAUUUAACAAAUUCUAUUUGUAUUCUAUACAAAAAUAUAAAGAACAUAAAAAUAAGAAAUCAUGUGCCAAGAUUUCUAUACUAAAUUUACAAAACAUUUCUGAAAUAAAUGAAGAUCUGUAUAAAUAGUGCAAAAACCCAUCAUUGUAGAUUGUAAGACUCCACAUUUUAAGUCAGUAAUCCCUCCCAAAUUGAUCUACGAAUUUAAUCUAAUGCCUAAUCAAAAUCUUGGUAAUUUUUAAUAGCAAAUGACAGUCUGAUUUUAAGAUGCAAGGUCAUAGAAAUUCAAAGCAAAAUUGAAAGAAAUAAACUUAGAGGACUUUGAUUUGCUGUUUUCACUUCUCGACAUAAAGCUGCAGUGAUCUGGAGAAUAUGGUUUUUGCAGAGGAAUCCAUCUAGACAUAGGAAAAAAAAAACAAUUCAGGAAUAGAUCCGAUUCAUGGGGUUAUCUGAUUUUCAUUUGAGGCAGAGCAAUUAAAACCUUUCCAACAAAUGAUACAGAAGUUACCUGUGCUAUGCAUGAAAAUAGUAACAGUAAUAAUAAACUUGAUACCUAUUAUACAUUCUACAAUCUUAAUUGAGAUAGAAAUAGAUGGAUAGAUAAACCCCAAAAAUUAAAAAGAAAAACUUAAGACUGUAUUUUUUUAACUUGGAAGGGUUGGUCAGCAUUUCUUAGCCCAGUCACAGAAUAGAAAAAAGGCAAUUAGACUUUGUGAAAAUUAAAAUUUUUGCUAAUAGAACAAAAAAAUGGUGAAGCUGCAGUUGAUUUAAAAAUAUUCACAAUUCUUGGUUAUUGCUCAGUGGUAAAGUGGUUUUGCCCAGUCUAUGCAAGCUCUAGGAUCAAUCCUUGGCAUUGCAAAACAAUAAAAUAAAAUAAGUAGUACUCACAAAAAUACAUAAUUAAAACAUUAAAAAACUCAAUAAUAAAAAGGGGAAAAGAUUUGACCAGACGCAUCUUAAGUGUCAACAGUUUAAAAAAAAGGAACUACAUUGAAACAUUCACCAGAAUGGCUGAAAUAAAAAGAGAUUGACAAAAGGAAGUUUUGCAAAUACUUACAGCAACCAAAACGUCCACACACUUUGAUGUAAUUGCAAAGUUAAAUCCAAAGCUACUUUGGGAAAAAAUUUUGAGUUUUUAAUAAAACUCUACAUAUGCAUUCCCUAGGACUCAGCAGUUCUAACCCUAGGCAUAUACUCAAGAGAAAUGAAAGCCAAUGCCACAAAAAGCUGUGCAAGAAUAUAGCACCUCCUUCUCUAAUAGCCAAGAACGAGAAACAACCACGAUCCACAGAGGGAGAACUAACAGAGUGUUAUAUUUACACAGUGAUAUACAUAUAUUUUUUUAAUCAGCAGUAAGUAAAAUGGCUCCCACAGUCCGCCAAAAUGGAAGAUGGAAGAAUUUUUAAAAAUAGUCCACAAAGUGAAAGACACAUGUUUACAAAUAUAUAAACUGCUUGAUCUUGUAUUCAUAAAUUUCUUGAAUAGAUUAAUUGAUACAUAGCCGGAAUAUAUAUAUUUGCCUUUCUACUUUAUUUUCCAACUCUGAAAAUCUGAGUUAGAUAAAAUGAGUUUGGAAUGCUCUUCUGGGUAGCAGAGAUUGCAAAGGAAGGGACAAUAAGUGAUUAUUCUCACUACCUGAUGAUGCUCCACAUAUCAUUGGGGUUUACAUUAUGAAAGUGUGUGCUAAAACCCAGAGGAUGUAGUGUUGUAUACGUUUACAACCAAAAAGAGAAAACUAAAAAAUAUCAAAAGCUUUUCAAUGAUGCACACUCUGGAAUCUGAAGGGAAAAGUAUCUUCAACUUCUUUUGAAAUGCACCAGAAAAAGCAUAGAUUGGAUGAAUGGAUGGAGAGAUGAAUAAAAUAAAUCAUAAAUCAAAUAUAGAGCAAUGUUAAUGAUAAGGUGUUAAGGGUGGAUGUAGACACGUCUGGAGCAUUCUUUCCACUAUGAAUAUUUAUAAUAAAUGACAAUAGAUAAUAAACUAAUUACUGAGCAUUUGUUUUGUGAUUUUAGUUUGUUCUCACAGCCUCGAAUUUUGUCCUUUUUCAAGACUCAGUGGAAAGGUGUUGAAUUUAUAGCAGGAGCAUCAUAGAAACUCAUGUGCAGUUGUCUAAAGCCUCUUCUAUCCAUAGCUUUUUUUUUUUUAAUCUUUUUUUGUGGCUGAGAACACAGUAUUGAGUUUCAUUUUCAAAAACAUAAAAGCAGUAAAUACUCAUGGUCCUGGGUCUGGUUUUUGAAUGAAAGCUGUACCACUUUUCUUACUCAAUGGUAUGCAUUGGUAUAUGGGAAGGAAGAAUAUCUUUGAAUAUGCAUUAGGGAAAUUUUAUUUUUAAAAAAAUGAAUGAGAUCAUAAAUUAGUUUCCUUUGAAAAUUCAUUUAAUUGAUACCCUUUAAAAGCUAGAUAUGAUUUUAAUUGAGGAUCAUCUGCUGACAUAAAAACACAUCAAGAUCCUCAAUUAGUGUGGUGGCAGAUGCUUAUAAUCCCAGCAACUUGGGAAACUGAGACAGGAAAAUUGCAGAUUCAAGGCCCAGUCUCAGAAAUUUAGACAGGCCCUGAGCAAUUUUCAAGAUUGUUUCAAAAUUUAAAAAAAUCUCCACCCUUCAAAGUUGCAAAUAAUGAAAUAAAAUCAAGCUUUAAAGGCUACCUCAGGAGUGAUCAGGAAGGUUAUUCCACAGUGCCAUAAAGUAAUAACCAAAGUAGAUUUUGGAGUAUACUUUGCUGUUUAUACUCAGGUAUCUGCCAAAUGUCUGUUUUCAGAAAGAUAGUGCAAUUCCUUUGACUUAAAUUCCAAAUUUUUGGUCCCAGGAAAAUAAAUGGAACUGCAUUUUUAAAGAAGAAAUUACCACCUGUUCCAAUGCUGUCUGGGUUAAGCCAGUUGUUUUGAUAGAGACUCAGUCUCAUCAUUUUUCUCACAAAAUGGGGAAAAUAAUGAUCAUAAUAAAGUGUGGCUAUUGGAACUAAAUUUGAAAACAUGCUUGCAAUUUAAAAUGUA